GAUGAACGCUGGCGGCGUGCUUAACACAUGCAAGUCGAACGAAGCACUUAUGGACAAUUCCUUCGGGAAGCGGAAAUAAAUGACUGAGUGGCGGACGGGUGAGUAACGCGUGGAUAACCUACCUCACACAGGGGGACAACAGUUAGAAAUGACUGCUAAUACCGCAUAAGCGCACAGUACCGCAUGGUACGGUGUGAAAAACUCCGGUGGUGUGAGAUGGAUCCGCGUCUGAUUAGCUAGUUGGUGAGGUAAUGGCUCACCAAGGCGACGAUCAGUAGCCGACCUGAGAGGGUGAUCGGCCACAUUGGGACUGAGACACGGCCCAAACUCCUACGGGAGGCAGCAGUGGGGAAUAUUGCACAAUGGGGGAAACCCUGAUGCAGCGACGCCGCGUGAAGGAUGAAGUAUUUCGGUAUGUAAACUUCUAUCAGCAGGGAAGAAAAUGACGGUACCUGACUAAGAAGCCCCGGCUAACUACGUGCCAGCCGCCGCCGUAACAC
Molecule: ribosomal RNA, 500 nt
Filed under: uncultured bacterium
Lineage: Bacteria
Description: bacterial SSU rRNA
Rfam family: Bacterial small subunit ribosomal RNA
Source: RNAcentral